AACAAACGCUGGCGGCGUGCCUAAUACAUGCAAGUCGAACGGGGAAAGUAGCAAUACGAGUACUAGUGGCGCACGGGUGAGGAAUACAUGGGUAAUCUGCCCUCGAGCUCGGGAUAACCAGUCGAAAGACUGGCUAAUACCGGAUAUGACCACAAGAUCUGAGGAUCAAGGGGUAAAAGGUUUUUCGCUUGAGGAUGAGCCCAUGUGGGAUUAGCUAGUUGGUGUAGGUAACGGCUCACCAAGGCGACGAUCCCUAACCUGGUCUUAGAGGAUGAUCAGUCACACUGGAACUGAGACACGGUCCAGACUCCUACGGGAGGCAGCAGUAGGGAAUAUUGCACAAUGGAGGAAACUCUGAUGCAGCGACGCCGCGUGAGUGAUGAAGGCCUUCGGGUCGUAAAGCUCUGUCGUAUGGGACUAACAAAAUAGAAGGUACCAUGCAAGAAAGGGAAUCGGCGUAACUUCGUGCCAGCA
This 474-nucleotide ribosomal RNA is filed under the name uncultured bacterium. RNAcentral describes it as "bacterial SSU rRNA". It matches the Rfam family "Bacterial small subunit ribosomal RNA", at positions 29 to 513 of the family's 1533-position model. The record is from RNAcentral.